Molecule: long non-coding RNA, 206 nt
Filed under: Panax ginseng (ginseng)
Lineage: Eukaryota; Viridiplantae; Streptophyta; Magnoliopsida; Apiales; Araliaceae
Description: long non-coding RNA (PGIN_LNC008041)
Source: RNAcentral
AUCAACCCAGCAAGUUUUGUGAUUUGUGAAAAAGCUGUAUAAAGGAAGAGUUGCUUAAUUUGCAUUUAAGUUCACUCCCAUGUUUUUGUCCAGGAAUGUGCUUGAAAACUGCUAGGUAGUAGUUUAAUUUUAUGGAUAGUUUGGUUUAUUUUGUGGAUUGAAAAGUGAAUUUGAGAUGUAUAUAGGGAUAUUUUGGUAUAUAUUUU